AACGAACGCUGGCGGCGUGGAUAAGACAUGCAAGUCGAACGCUGAUUUCAGGGUAGCAAUAUUCUGGAGUCGGAGUGGCGCAAGGGUGCGUAACACGUGGGUAAUCUGCCGCGAAGACCGGGAUAACUUGCUGAAAGGCGAGCUAAUACCGGAUGUGGUUGUUGGGGGGCAUCUCCUGGCAAUCGAAGUUGGGGACCGUAAGGCCUGACACUUCGCGAUGAGCCCGCGGCCUAUCAGCUAGUUGGUGAGGUAACGGCUCACCAAGGCUAAGACGGGUAGCUGGUCUGAGAGGACGACCAGCCUCACUGGAACUGAGACACGGUCCAGACACCUACGGGAGGCAG
This 344-nucleotide ribosomal RNA is filed under the name uncultured Verrucomicrobiota bacterium. RNAcentral describes it as "bacterial SSU rRNA". It matches the Rfam family "Bacterial small subunit ribosomal RNA", at positions 29 to 351 of the family's 1533-position model. The record is from RNAcentral. Lineage: Bacteria; Pseudomonadati; Verrucomicrobiota.